This 1063-nucleotide long non-coding RNA is filed under the name Marmota monax (woodchuck). The record is from RNAcentral. Lineage: Eukaryota; Metazoa; Chordata; Mammalia; Rodentia; Sciuridae.
CCUAGAGUGAAAGGAGCCGACAGGUGUGGGGAGACGUGCUUGUCUCUGAACCCUCUCAGCUGGAAGUGAGAAAAUCUAAUGACCCUCCCAGGAUCUGCCACCCUCCACCCCUCACUUACCCUUGCAGUCUGAGAGCCAGUCCUUCCCCAGGACCUCUCUUUCCCUCUGUUCCUUAUCACCCAGCUCCAUCCAAGCUAGCUGUUCGUCCAGAGCUCCCAUUCCCUGAUGGAGAAAGCUGUAUCUCUCUAGGCUCCCUGGGCUGCUGGACACUCCAUCUCCCCUCAACAGAAUGGUGGCCUUCACCUUCCAGAAGGUGUUAGGCAGUGUUCCUGCCCCGUGACUCCCAGUCCUGGUGUUCAUACCCUGACUAAGUCCUCCUUUCGGAUUGGGGUGCACAGGACAUGUUUAUAGCCAACAAAGAAGGGCAAAGGUAAAGGAAUUUUACAGGUAAGUAGGGCUCUGAAUCAGCUGGGUUUGAGUUAACCAAAAUAGGUUUUUCUCUGGGUCCUGGCUCAGUCAUGUGAAAACCCUUGCAAGAGGGGCAGCCUUUCCUGAGUAGAGAACAUCUCCACACAGGUUUGAUGAAGCAAGCAGCCACCUUCAAGAGGCCUAGCUAGUGAAGAGCCACAGGCAGCCAAAGGGACUCUAAGGCAGCCUCUGGCAAAAAACUAGGGACCUCUAUCUUAUCACUGCAAGGAAAUGUGUGGAUGCAGAUUCUUCCCCAGCUGAGCCUCCUGAUGAGAUUGAGCCAUGAAUACCUUGAUGACAGUCUUGUGAGACCCUAGCACAGGGUCCAGGUAAGCCGUGCCCAGACUCCUAACCCGCAGAAAUGGGAAUCAAAAAGGGACACUGUCCUAGCCUGCUAACUUUGUGGUGAUCUGUUAUGCAACAAUAGAUUCUAUUACAGGCAGGGAGUUGGGAGGCUUCAAGAUGUCAGGCUGGAGCUUGGAGACGGCACAGGUGUCUUGCUUCAUCCAGAGUCUGAGUCCUAAAAAGCCCCCCAAACCCCACCUGAAGCCUCUAAUAGGCCAGAAUCAGCAGCUGGACAGUGGGUAGGUCCUAG